RNAcentral lists this non-coding RNA (99 nucleotides) under human gut metagenome. RNAcentral describes it as "SAM riboswitch (S box leader)". It matches the Rfam family "SAM riboswitch aptamer (S box leader)". Rfam says of the family: The SAM riboswitch is found upstream of a number of genes which code for proteins involved in methionine or cysteine biosynthesis in Gram-positive bacteria. The SAM riboswitch acts at the level of transcription termination control. The record is from RNAcentral.
CCUUAUCAAGAGAGGCGGAGGGAACAGGCCCGAUGAAGCCCGGCAACCUGCUGAAAAAGGCAAGGUGCCAAUUCCUGCGGCUGUGGCCGGCAGAUGAGG